This 64-nucleotide transfer RNA is filed under the name Staphylinidae sp. BMNH 1274206. RNAcentral describes it as "tRNA-His". Lineage: Eukaryota; Metazoa; Arthropoda; Insecta; Coleoptera; Staphylinidae. The record is from RNAcentral.
AUUUAAAUAGUUUUAUAUAAAAUAUUGACUUGUGGAGCCAAGGAUGCAUUUAGUGCUUUAAAUA